This 859-nucleotide ribosomal RNA is filed under the name Verruciconidia persicina. RNAcentral's name for it is "LSU rRNA". It matches the Rfam family "Eukaryotic large subunit ribosomal RNA", at positions 36 to 937 of the family's 3401-position model. The record is from RNAcentral. Lineage: Eukaryota; Fungi; Ascomycota; Sordariomycetes; Hypocreales; Bionectriaceae.
UAGCAUAUCAUAAGCGGAGGAAAGAAACCAACAGGGAUUGCCUCAGUAACGGCGAGUGAAGCGGCACAGCUCAAAUUGAAAUCUGGCCCUAGGCCCGAGUUGUAAUUGCAGAGGAUGUUUCUGGCGAGGUGCCUUCCGAGUUCCCUGGAACGGGACGCCAUAGAGGGUGAGAGCCCCGUACGGUUGGUCGCUAAGCCUCUGUGAAACUCCUUCGACGAGUCGAGUAGUUUGGGAAUGCUGCUCUAAAUGGGAGGUAUACGUCUUCUAAAGCUAAAUACCGGCCAGAGACCGAUAGCGCACAAGUAGAGUGAUCGAAAGAUGAAAAGCACUUUGAAAAGAGGGUUAAAUAGUACGUGAAAUUGUUGAAAGGGAAGCGCUUAUGACCAGACUUGGACCGGUUGAUCAUCCAUCGUUCUCGGUGGUGCACUCUGCCGGUUCAGGCCAGCAUCAGUUCGUCCCGGGGGAUAAAGGCUUUGGGAAUGUGGCUCUUCGGAGUGUUAUAGCCCACUGCGUAAUACCCUGGGAUGGACUGAGGUUCGCGCUCCGCAAGGAUGCUGGCGUAAUGGUCAUCAGUGACCCGUCUUGAAACACGGACCAAGGAGUCGUCUUCGUAUGCGAGUGUUCGGGUGUCAAACCCCUACGCGUAAUGAAAGUGAACGUAGGAGAGAGCUUCGGCGCAUCUCCGACCGAUCCUGAUGUUCUCGGAUGGAUUUGAGUAAGAGCAUACGGGGCCGGACCCGAAAGAAGGUGAACUAUGCUUGUAUAGGGUGAAGCCAGAGGAAACUCUGGUGGAGGCUCGCAGCGGUUCUGACGUGCAAAUCGAUCGUCAAAUAUGAGCAUGGGGGCGAAAGACUAAUCG